Molecule: ribosomal RNA, 433 nt
Filed under: Rhodocista pekingensis
Lineage: Bacteria; Pseudomonadati; Pseudomonadota; Alphaproteobacteria; Rhodospirillales; Azospirillaceae
Description: bacterial SSU rRNA
Rfam family: Bacterial small subunit ribosomal RNA
Source: RNAcentral
UGAUCCUGGCUCAGAACGAACGCUGGCGGCAGGCCUAACACAUGCAAGUCGAACGAAGGCUUCGGCCUUAGUGGCGCACGGGUGAGUAACACGUGGGAACGUGCCCUUGGGUUCGGGAUAACGUCUGGAAACGGACGCUAAUACCGGAUGACCCCUGCGGGGGAAAGAUUUAUCGCCUGAGGAGCGGCCCGCGUCUGAUUAGGUAGUUGGUGGGGUAAUGGCCUACCAAGCCGACGAUCAGUAGCUGGUCUGAGAGGAUGAUCANGCCACACUGGGACUGAGACACGGCCCAGACUCCUACGGGAGGCAGCAGUGGGGAAUAUUGGACAAUGGGCGGAAGCCUGAUCCAGCCAUGCCGCGUGAGUGAUGAAGGCCUUCGGGUUGUAAAGCUCUUUCGCACGCGACGAUGAUGACGGUAGCGUGAGAAGAAGCC